RNAcentral lists this ribosomal RNA (440 nucleotides) under uncultured bacterium. Its description in RNAcentral is "bacterial SSU rRNA". It matches the Rfam family "Bacterial small subunit ribosomal RNA", at positions 338 to 770 of the family's 1533-position model. The record is from RNAcentral.
CCUACGGGUGGCAGCAGUGGGGAAUCUUGCGCAAUGCGCGAAAGCGUGACGCAGCAACGCCGCGUGGGGGAAGAAGGCCUUCGGGUUGUAAACCCCUUUCAGUUGGGACGAAGCUUCGUCGGUGAAUAGCCGGCUGGAGUGACGGUACCUCAUUAGAAAGCCACGGCUAACUACGUGCCAGCAGCCGCGGUAAUACGUAGGUGGCAAGCGUUGUCCGGAAUUAUUGGGCGUAAAGCGCGCGCAGGCGGUCCUUUAAGUCUGAUGUGAAAGCCCACGGCUCAACCGUGGAGGGUCAUUGGAAACUGGGGGACUUGAGUACAGAAGAGGAAAGCGGAAUUCCACGUGUAGCGGUGAAAUGCGUAGAGAUGUGGAGGAACACCAGUGGCGAAGGCGGCUUUCUGGUCUGUAACUGACGCUGAGGCGCGAAAGCGUGGGGAGCA